This 338-nucleotide long non-coding RNA is filed under the name Trifolium pratense (red clover). RNAcentral describes it as "long non-coding RNA (TPRA_LNC002482)". The record is from RNAcentral. Lineage: Eukaryota; Viridiplantae; Streptophyta; Magnoliopsida; Fabales; Fabaceae.
CUUUAAAAAAAAAAAAAAUACUAUCAUGGCACAUGUUUCUUAAAUAAACUGUUAAAUAUAUUUAAGUUUUAUGCAAUAAUAACAGUUAAGUGGGUUUGGCCGAGUGGUUGUGUUUUUGCUCACCCAAAGGACACAAGUUCGAGUCCCUUCUAGCAUUGUUUGGAUAUUUUUAUUUAAAUUUUCAUUCCAACACAAAACCGGUUCGGUUCUUGGCGGGUUUUCCGGUUCACCGGUUUAACCGUAGAAUUCGCCGGGUUACGCCGGUUUUCUCCGGUUUAUUUGCUUAACCGGUUCUGCAAGCUGAUUGACCCGUUAAUAUCUCCGGUUCCCGGCCGGAC